Molecule: long non-coding RNA, 1737 nt
Organism: Cyprinus carpio carpio
Lineage: Eukaryota; Metazoa; Chordata; Actinopteri; Cypriniformes; Cyprinidae
Source: Ensembl
AUGGAAUAUUAUCUUUAAAUGCUCUUCAGAUAAACUAUCCUGCCAGGUAAUUGAUUUUGUGAGAUGAGUAUUUGUGAGCAUGUAGAUGCAUGCUUUUGAGGAGAUCUGACCUUUAGAAUUGCAUUCCUCAAUUUCAAAUAACGAAUAGAGUGCAUACUAUAAUGGUCAGUCAAAUGAUACAUUUAUUCAAAUUUAAAUGUGUAGAAAAAAACCCCAACAUAAAUAAUUUGUAUUUGUUGCAAUUUAAUGCAACAUUUGAUUUGUUUGUCAUAUCCAAUAUAUUGUCUUAAUCAUCAUAAGCAAAACUGAAACAUUUUGAUUUAUUUCAAGAAGAAUAUUUGAAGAAUAUCUGCAUAUUUGUGUGUUUAUGCAUCAGACUCAUUCAACCUUGCUAAUCUACAAUAUGGAUUUUAUUAUCAGACCUCAGUGUUUGUAUACUGUAUAUCUCUCUGUGCUGAGCAAGCAGCAGGUCAGUGAUGGAGUGAUGUUUAUGAAGUCCCUGUUUAGAUUUGUGCUCCUCACCCUCCACAUUCUGCUCUCAGCUGGACUGGGAGGGGAGUCUUCCGUUUUUCACAUUGUCUGUAAAGGUUACAGUCCUCAUCCAUGUGAAAGGACAUAACUAAGGUCUUCAAGCAUCAUCUUUUGUGUUCUGCAGAAGAAAGAAAGUCCUAUACGUUUGGAACGACGUGAGGCGAUGCAGCUUUGGGUCUGUGGCGGGGCUGGCUAGAUUCCCAUGGCACAGAGAGCAGCUGCCUGAGUUUCAGGGCUCUGGAUAAAACUGUUUCUCUUCCAUGCCGAGAGAACGUAAUGACAGUAGGGCCCUUUGGGCCUGCCAGCCAUCUGCAGGUCCAGGUCCUGGUUAAGCAUGACCAGGUGCAGAGAAAAGUCUUCUUGCUACCUCUCAGCUGAUUAGUGGAGCCGGUUGAUUGGUGCAAAUGAGGAAGCUUUUAUCCUGCUUGAGUAUAAUCUGCUUGCAUCUUUAUUGGCUAAAAGCAGGCGUGAUGCUGGCAUGACCCAGGCUGCCCCAGGUACUGUGCUCAGAAAGGGUACUGACACUAAUGUCUUCUGACACACACAUCCCCCAUGCCCUUCCUGUUAAAGGUGCACACACAGAUACGCUGCAGAAAAAAAUCUCCAAAGCUUAUGCAUGCACUUUUUUAAUUACACUACUUUUGUGAAAAAUAUUUUUUAUAAUAUACACCAUAUUAAAAUGCACAUUCUCAGUGAAGGCGAGCGGGAACGUUCAGCACUUUAUAGCUGAAGCCUUUGGCGUAAUGGCUGCUUGUUUCCUUCUCAUCUUCUUUUGUCCUUAAAGGACGCUGCCUUGCCUAGCUGCACAGAUCCUUGGAGCAUCUUUCCUAUUUGUCUGUCCCUCUCUGUGCUGCAACACAGCCUGUUAUUUCAAGGAAAGUGCAACCUUUGCCUUGGGCUUUAAUUAUGUUCAAUUUGCCAAGCCGAGCCUGAAAAAUUCAGAGGGUAAAAAAGCUCUAUGACCUAUUUAUUAAUGCUGCGUUGGGUCUAAAGCUACACUGAGAUCAGCACUGCAUCACUCAACAAUAACACCCAUCUCUGGAGAACAGACUUCAAUCACGUUGUACUCCUCUCUUACAAUGGGAAUUCAUUACUUUAUAAUAGAUCACUGACCAGUUAAUCAUUAUUAAAAGAAAUGUAAAAGUUUGUAGUUAAGUGUGAUUUGUAAUUGGUGUACAUUGUUGGAAUUGUACAUGAAAUUGGCAA